GAUCAUGGCUCAGGAUGAACGCUGGCGGCGUGCUUAACACAUGCAAGUCGAACGGGAAUUACUUUAUUAAAACUUCGGUCGAUUUAAUUUAAUUCUAGUGGCGGACGGGUGAGUAACGCGUGGGUAACCUGCCUUGUACAGGGGGAUAACAGUCAGAAAUGACUGCUAAUACCGCAUAAGCGCACAGGACCGCAUGGUCCGGUGUGAAAAACUCCGGUGGUAUAAGAUGGACCCGCGUUGGAUUAGCUUGUUGGUGGGGG
Molecule: ribosomal RNA, 260 nt
Filed under: uncultured bacterium
Lineage: Bacteria
Description: partial 16S ribosomal RNA
Rfam family: Bacterial small subunit ribosomal RNA
Source: RNAcentral